RNAcentral lists this ribosomal RNA (468 nucleotides) under uncultured bacterium. RNAcentral's name for it is "partial 16S ribosomal RNA". It matches the Rfam family "Bacterial small subunit ribosomal RNA", at positions 28 to 507 of the family's 1533-position model. The record is from RNAcentral.
GACGAACGCUGGCGGCGUGCUUAACACAUGCAAGUCGAACGGAAAGGCCCUGCUUUUGUGGGGUGCUCGAGUGGCGAACGGGUGAGUAACACGUGAGUAACCUGCCCUUGACUUUGGGAUAACUUCAGGAAACUGGGGCUAAUACCGGAUAGGAGCUCCUGCUGCAUGGUGGGGGUUGGAAAGUUUCGGCGGUUGGGGAUGGACUCGCGGCUUAUCAGCUUGUUGGUGGGGUAGUGGCUUACCAAGGCUUUGACGGGUAGCCGGCCUGAGAGGGUGACCGGCAACAUUGGGACUGGGAGACGGCCCAGACUCCUACGGGAGGCAGCAGUGGGGAAUAUUGCACAAUGGGCGGAAGCCUGAUGCAGCAACGCCGCGUGCGGGAUGACGGCCUUCGGGUUGUAAACCGCUUUCGCCUGUGACGAAGCGUGAGUGACGGUAAUGGGUAAAGAAGCACCGGCUAACUACGUG